RNAcentral lists this non-coding RNA (21 nucleotides) under Caenorhabditis elegans. The record is from RNAcentral. Lineage: Eukaryota; Metazoa; Nematoda; Chromadorea; Rhabditida; Rhabditidae.
UCUCGAAUCCACACAUACUUU